This 25-nucleotide microRNA is filed under the name Mus musculus (house mouse). RNAcentral's name for it is "mmu-miR-7088-5p". The record is from miRBase by way of RNAcentral. Lineage: Eukaryota; Metazoa; Chordata; Mammalia; Rodentia; Muridae.
GCAAGUGGUGGUGAGGAGGGGAAAC